RNAcentral lists this long non-coding RNA (202 nucleotides) under Gossypium barbadense (sea-island cotton). RNAcentral describes it as "long non-coding RNA (GBAR_LNC023625)". Lineage: Eukaryota; Viridiplantae; Streptophyta; Magnoliopsida; Malvales; Malvaceae. The record is from RNAcentral.
UAAUGAAAAGGAAAAGGGAAGCGUACCAUUUCGAUUCGUGUCAGAAAAAGGAAACUUUCCAGUUUCCAACCACCGUACGUGGAGGCCAAGAAGGGGGCGCGUGAGUGCGUGCAAACUCCGGACGGAGGCACGAUAGCCCUCCAACAACUAACCCCAAGUCCUCGUUCAGAGGAUUCUUUUCUUUUUUUCUAAAACAGAGUGC